Long non-coding RNA from Neofelis nebulosa (Clouded leopard), 1038 nucleotides. RefSeq lists it as uncharacterized. The transcript has 2 exons. The record is from RefSeq and is a predicted model, not a curated record. NCBI's taxonomy places the organism in Eukaryota, Metazoa, Chordata, Mammalia, Carnivora, Felidae.
CCACUCCCUCCCCGCGCGCGCUCGCCCUUCUCGGCAGCCGCGCGACCCCCGGAGCGCGCGCCCGCUCCGCCGCCCGCGGAACCCGAGUCGGCCACAGAGCUGCCGGGGGAGCACAGUAGGAUUCUUUGCCAAUGGCAGCAGUUGAUGUUUUUUGGCAAACUACCCAAACGCAAACUCAGUGUGCAGAAUGCCAGGCAAAGGCAAGUAAAAACAGUAAGAGCAAAAAUAAUGAAAAUAGCUUACUUAAGCAAUUAGUACUCAAGACCCGUAUUUGAUUUUAUGGUACUGAUGGGCUAAUGAGUUAGUCUGUUACUGUUUCGUGGAUGCUGACAAAAGUCCCAGAAUCCCUGGGUGGGAGACAACGGGACUGUUAUGACACAGGAAGUAACAUGAGCUUCAGCACGUUUGUGUCAAUUCCUCUUCCCCCCAAGUCUAUGGGAAUGACACCAAUGGCUCAGAUGAAUGCUGUGCAUUUGUUUGGUGGAUUUACACCACAGCUGAGAAACACUGAGCUUGGGGAACCUGCCAUUUUAUAGGGAAGCAGUGAGCAAACCUGUUCUUUGUGCUGGAGGGAGACAUUACUUCAUUCCUUAAAGUUGUUCAUUAUAAACACAACCCUGGGGAAUGACCCUGGUAAAGAGCAGUCAGAGUCUUGAAUUUUUGGCAUACCCAGGAAGAUGGGUAGAAGCAUGACAGACUCCUGAAGGCCUGUCUCUCAACAUUACGGUGUGUCAAACACUUCUAAGCGCUUUACAUCUAUAAUCUCAUUUAAUCUUCACAACCCUGUAAUGUGCCCUAUUUAUAGAUGAAUAAACAGGCAGAGAGAGGCCACAAAGCUAAUGAACAAUCCAGGAGAGGGGCACCUGGGUGGCUCAGUCAGUUGGGUGUUGACUCUUGAUUUCAGCUCAGGUCAUGAUCUCAUGGUUGGUGGGAUCAAGCCCCACGUCAGGCUCCAUGCUGAUAUGUGGAACCUGCUUGAGAUUCUCUUUCUCCCCCCUCCCCACCCUUCUCCCACUCGUUGUCUCUCUCUCUCAAAAA